UUUGUAGUCUUUAAGAAUAUAAAAUCUCAAAGAUGGUCUUAACAAUAAAGCUCUGACACAAAUUGAAAGGUUUCAGGCAAUUAUGGUGGAACCAGCACUAACAUUUUGACUAAUUCUUCUUAAAAAUUAUAGCAUUGUCUGCUAGUCAGAUUAGCAAAGAUUUUACUGGUAAUGGAGAAUCUUUAGUUGUUAAGAAGAAUUUUACCCUAAUUAUUGUUUAAAUUAACUGCGCUAAUGAAAACUAUGUGGCUAGCACAUUUACCAAUCACCUUAACUUAUAAAUCAGUUAUGCCCAAUUUUUUUCAGCCUGGGGACUAUUUAGUUUCUGACACACAGGCUGUGUACUGCAUCCAUGCAAUAAAUCGAGUCCAAUCAAAAUGAGCCUCUCUGCUAUUUUAAUAUGAGUGGGCUGAAGUUUUGAGAGGCCUGAUAGCAAUGUGUCAAAGGUCACAGGCAGCCAGGUGGCUGUAGUUUGAGUUAACUCUACUAAGAUUUUUUUCUAAUUUAGACAACCCCACCAUUUCAUCCUUGAAUAGCAUUCUUAUAUAUAUAAUUUUUAUAUAUUUUUUUAAGCUUCAUUUAUACAUUUAAAAAAAAUAAUAGAAAUUUGUUUAGACAUUACUUCUACUGGCACUGGCUUCA
Biomphalaria pfeifferi is the source of this 642-nucleotide non-coding RNA. The record is from the annotation of a GenBank genome assembly. Lineage: Eukaryota; Metazoa; Mollusca; Gastropoda; Planorbidae.